GACGAACGCUGGCGGCGUGCUAUACAUGCAGUAGAACGCUGAAGAGAGGAGCUUGCUCUUCUUGGAUGAGUUGCGAACGGGUGAGUAACGCGUAGGUAACCUGCCUUGUAGCGGGGGGAUAACUAUUGGAAACGAUAGCUAAUACCGCAUAACAAUGGGUGACACAUGUCAUUUAUUUGAAAGGGGCAAUUGCUCCACUACAAGAUGGACCUGCGUUGUAUUAGCUAGUAGGUGAGGUAACGGCUCACCUAGGCGACGAUACAUAGCCGACCUGAGAGGGUGAUCGGCCACACUGGGACUGAGACACGGCCCAGACUCCUACGGGAGGCAGCAGUAGGGGAAUCUUCGGCAAUGGGGGCAACCCUGACCGAGCAACGCCGCGUGAGUGAAGAAGGUUUUCGGAUCGUAAAGCUCUGUUGUAAGUCAAGAACGAGUGUGAGAGUGGGAAAGUUCACACUGUGACGGUAGCUUACCAGAAAGGGACGGCUAACUACGUGCCAGCAGCCGCGGUAAUACGUAGGCCCCGAGCGUUUGUCCGGAUUUAUUGGGCGUAAAGCGAGCGCAGGCGGUUUGAUAAGUCUGAAGUUAAAGGCUGUGGGCUCAACCAUAGUUCGCUUUGGAAACUGUCAAACUUGAGUGCAGAAGGGGAGAGUGGAAUUCCAUGUGUAGCGUGAAAUGCGUAGAUAUAUGGAGGAACACCGGUGGCGAAAGCGGCUCUCUGGCUUGUAACUGACGCUGAGCUCGAAAGCGUGGGGAGCGAACAGG
RNAcentral lists this ribosomal RNA (765 nucleotides) under uncultured Streptococcus sp. RNAcentral describes it as "bacterial SSU rRNA". It matches the Rfam family "Bacterial small subunit ribosomal RNA", at positions 28 to 776 of the family's 1533-position model. Lineage: Bacteria; Bacillati; Bacillota; Bacilli; Lactobacillales; Streptococcaceae. The record is from RNAcentral.